UUCAUGAUGGCCGAGUUGGUCUAAGGUGCCAAUUUCAGGUAUUGGUCCAAAAGUUCAUGAGUUCAAAUCCCAUUCUUGGCA
Molecule: transfer RNA, 81 nt
Filed under: Amborella trichopoda
Lineage: Eukaryota; Viridiplantae; Streptophyta; Magnoliopsida; Amborellales; Amborellaceae
Rfam family: tRNA
About the family: Transfer RNA (tRNA) molecules are approximately 80 nucleotides in length. Their secondary structure includes four short double-helical elements and three loops (D, anti-codon, and T loops).
Source: Rfam by way of RNAcentral